UUUUAUAAAAGGCUCUUCAGUAAUUUAUGUCAGUAUGUAGUAUACAGUAUUCUUAUAUAAACAAUGAUCAGACAAUAUAAAGGUUUGAAUUUGUCACUCAGACAUUUAAAGAAUGUGUAAAUGCUUCUUAUUCCUGAGUACAUUGUUUUCUGAUGAUUUUACAGUUUUGAAGGCAGAUAAUGCAGUUAUUAGAAUAAAGUAGGCUACAAUAUGAUAUCAAUACAUUUACAUGAUAAAAGGAAAAA
Dicentrarchus labrax (European seabass) is the source of this 245-nucleotide long non-coding RNA. RefSeq lists it as uncharacterized. NCBI's taxonomy places the organism in Eukaryota, Metazoa, Chordata, Actinopteri, Moronidae. The transcript is spliced from 2 exons. The record is from RefSeq and is a predicted model, not a curated record.